CUUGGGACAACAUUCUUAUAUAACGAUUCAGGCAAUGAAUCUUAAAUAAAACAUGAUAAUAUAGGGUAUGUCAUGUGUAAUGUAAAUUUACCAAACUUCUGGAAAUAUAAACGGAAGAGGAAGUUGUCUAUGAAUAAAAGCCGGAGUGAUGACGGACACAUAUCCGGACUUCUUUUUUUUCCGUUUUUCUCCCAAAAUAACCGAAACUGAAUAAUCAUAAGAAUGGAUGACAAAUGCGACUAUGCAUGGUACCUAUAGGACAUAUAGUCACAAUGAUCAAUUUAUUGUGGAAGGAGGAGAAGCGACACCAAAAAUGAGGUCUUCUCGUUUAAUAGGAUUGUGGAAGGAGGAGAAGCGACACCAAAAAUGAGGUCUUCUCGUUUAAUAGUAUAGAU
RNAcentral lists this long non-coding RNA (395 nucleotides) under Mytilus galloprovincialis (Mediterranean mussel). The record is from RNAcentral. Lineage: Eukaryota; Metazoa; Mollusca; Bivalvia; Mytilida; Mytilidae.